CUUUUCUCCCUAACGUUUAGGGAACCAGCACCCACUGGACCCAAAGUUCUAUCUCUUUCUCUUCAGCUUUCUGUAACAGUUAAAAAUAUUCUUUUUCAGCAUGCUUGAAGAGAUUGAGUCCACACUCAUGAAGACAUUACUCACAGGGAGCCCCUCCACUGCAUGGUGA
This 169-nucleotide long non-coding RNA is filed under the name Phasianus colchicus (ring-necked pheasant). RNAcentral describes it as "lncRNA (ENSPCLG00000001041.1)". The record is from RNAcentral. Lineage: Eukaryota; Metazoa; Chordata; Aves; Galliformes; Phasianidae.